AUUGAACGCUGGCGGCAGGCUUAACACAUGCAAGUCGAACGAUGAAGAUAUAGCUUGCUAUAUCGGAUUAGUGGCGGACGGGUGAGUAAUACUUAGGAAUCUACCUUUUAGCGGGGGAUAGCUCGGGGAAACUCGAAUUAAUACCGCAUAAUUUCUACGGAAUAAAGAGGGCUUUUGGCUCUCACUAGAAGAUGAGCCUAAGUAAGAUUAGCUAGUUGGUGGGGCAAAAGCCUACCAAGGCGACGAUCUUUAGCUGGUCUGAGAGGAUGAUCAGCCACACUGGGACUGAGACACGGCCCAGACUCCUACGGGAGGCAGCAGUGGGGAAUAUUGGACAAUGGGGGCAACCCUGAUCCAGCCAUGCCGCGUGUGUGAAGAAGGCCUUUUGGUUGUAAAGCACUUUAAGCAGUGAAGAAGACCUAUUGGUUAAUACCCAAUAGCGAUGACAUUAACUGCAGAAUAAGCACCGGCUAACUCUGUGCCAGCAGCCGCGGUAAUACAGAGGGUGCAAGCGUUAAUCGGAAUUACUGGGCGUAAAGCGAGCGUAGGUGGUUAAAUAAGUCAGAUGUGAAAGCCCUGGGCUCAACCUAGGAACGGCAUCUGAAACUAUUUAACUAGAGUAGGUGAGAGGGAAGUAGAAUUUCAGGUGUAGCGGUGAAAUGCGUAGAGAUCUGAAGGAAUACCGAUGGCGAAGGCAGCUUCCUGGCAUCAUACUGACACUGAGGCUCGAAAGCGUGGGUAGCAAACAGG
Molecule: ribosomal RNA, 750 nt
Filed under: uncultured bacterium
Lineage: Bacteria
Description: bacterial SSU rRNA
Rfam family: Bacterial small subunit ribosomal RNA
Source: RNAcentral